CAGGGGUUCCUCUCAUGAUCAUGGGUUCAAUGCAGAGAUACAGACUCUUGGGAGGAUCCGACACAGGCACAUUGUUAGAUUAUUAGGGUUUUGCUCGAAUCAUGAGACAAAUCUUUUGGUUUACGAGUACAUGCCUAAUGGAAGUCUUGGGGAAAUGCUUCAUGGCAAGAAAGGCGGUCAUUUACAUUGGGAUACCAGGUAUAAGAUUGCCUUGGAGUCUGCUAAGGGUCUUUGCUAUCUCCAUCACGAUUGCUCUCCUUUGAUCCUCCAUCGUGAUGUGAAAUCAAACAAC
This 292-nucleotide long non-coding RNA is filed under the name Solanum lycopersicum (tomato). Its description in RNAcentral is "long non-coding RNA (SLYC_LNC001239)". Lineage: Eukaryota; Viridiplantae; Streptophyta; Magnoliopsida; Solanales; Solanaceae. The record is from RNAcentral.